This 546-nucleotide unclassified non-coding RNA is filed under the name Machaerina mariscoides. RNAcentral's name for it is "partial external transcribed spacer 1". Lineage: Eukaryota; Viridiplantae; Streptophyta; Magnoliopsida; Poales; Cyperaceae. The record is from RNAcentral.
CUGCGCUUUGGCGCGGCCGACCGUCGUGAAGCUGUCUUUUCACUCCUCCUCCCGUUGCGCUUCUUUUGCAGGGGAGGGACGCGUUGUCGGCUGUCUGUGUGGUUCUACCCUUGCGGGGAAUAACAUUCUGUUCCAAGAGUUAAUUUUUGCUUGCCCCGUCAAUAUUUUUUGUUGUCGGGGCAGCCGAUUGUUGGCUAAAUGCUUGCGCUCCAGCGGCUGAAUGCCCCUGUUCUCCGCGCUUGGAUUUUGUCGGCUCUCACGGAUGCCGUGUCCAUCGAGGAAUCUGUUGGCCUCUGGUCCCGGGUUUCCUAGGGAGGUCCCUUGUACGGAUCAUUGCUCUGCCGCGCUGCUAUCUUGUCCCGGGUGCUGGGAUGUUGUAGCGGUGCGCGCGGGGCGUGCUCCUGUGCGUGCGAGACGUUUGCCCGAUUGAAUGAGCGACCGCCGGUUCACGUCUUGUGAGCGGACUCCUACUCAUUUAGGGUUCGCCGCAACGAUGUGUCGGCUCUCGUUUAAGACGUGCUACCUGGUUGAUCCUGCCAGUAGUCA